This 19-nucleotide ribosomal RNA is filed under the name Enterocytozoon bieneusi H348. Its description in RNAcentral is "18S ribosomal RNA". The record is from RNAcentral. Lineage: Eukaryota; Fungi; Microsporidia; Enterocytozoonidae.
GGAUGCGGGCGCGGCACCA